This is a long non-coding RNA of Hipposideros armiger (great roundleaf bat), 381 nucleotides long. RefSeq lists it as uncharacterized. The transcript is spliced from 3 exons. The record is from RefSeq and is a predicted model, not a curated record. Lineage: Eukaryota; Metazoa; Chordata; Mammalia; Chiroptera; Hipposideridae.
UGCUUAAGCUGCCGGCUUCCUGCUCUCCCCCCUGUCCCUUCAGAGUGAUUUCUCUGGAUGCCCGAGGACCUCAAAGCUGUCAGCACUCACUUGGUGGUUCCUAAGCCAGAGAUGACACACUCCUGGAGCAGAACCCUGAAUUCACUGACGUGGCCGCUUGCCCAGCUGAAGAGCUACAUUUCCCAGCACUGGCAGCUGGUCCUGGCCAAUGAGCUGUGAGCCAAAACGCUGGGUGGCUGUAUUAGCCUGGAUUCAUACAGGAGAGAAAAACCACAUGGGCUGAGAUUCAGAUUUUGUUGGAGGCUUUGGCUGUAGCCGAGAAGUCACUGUGCUCUGUGCUGCUGGAACUUGCUGGAAAUCUGUCCUCUGGAACUUCUCAGA